RNAcentral lists this ribosomal RNA (523 nucleotides) under Escherichia coli. RNAcentral describes it as "partial 23S ribosomal RNA". It matches the Rfam family "Bacterial large subunit ribosomal RNA", at positions 1 to 554 of the family's 2925-position model. Lineage: Bacteria; Pseudomonadati; Pseudomonadota; Gammaproteobacteria; Enterobacterales; Enterobacteriaceae. The record is from RNAcentral.
GGGUUGUGAGGUUAAGCGACUAAGCGUACACGGUGGAUGCCCUGGCAGUCAGAGGCGAUGAAGGACGUGCUAAUCUGCGAUAAGCGUCGGUAAGGUGAUAUGAACCGUUAUAACCGGCGAUUUCCGAAUGGGGAAACCCAGUGUGAUUCGUCACACUAUCAUUAACUGAAUCCAUAGGUUAAUGAGGCGAACCGGGGGAACUGAAACAUCUAAGUACCCCGAGGAAAAGAAAUCAACCGAGAUUCCCCCAGUAGCGGCGAGCGAACGGGGAGGAGCCCAGAGCCUGAAUCAGUGUGUGUGUUAGUGGAAGCGUCUGGAAAGGCGCGCGAUACAGGGUGACAGCCCCGUACACAAAAAUGCACAUGCUGUGAGCUCGAUGAGUAGGGCGGGACACGUGGUAUCCUGUCUGAAUAUGGGGGGACCAUCCUCCAAGGCUAAAUACUCCUGACUGACCGAUAGUGAACCAGUACCGUGAGGGAAAGGCGAAAAGAACCCCGGCGAGGGGAGUGAAAAAGAACCUGAA